This 200-nucleotide ribosomal RNA is filed under the name uncultured bacterium. RNAcentral's name for it is "partial 16S ribosomal RNA". It matches the Rfam family "Bacterial small subunit ribosomal RNA", at positions 8 to 213 of the family's 1533-position model. The record is from RNAcentral.
AGAGUUUGAUCCUGGCUCAGAUUGAACGCUGGCGGCAUGCCUAACACAUGCAAGUCGAACGGCAGCAUGAUGCGUAGUAAUACGUAUUGAUGGCGAGUGGCGGACGGGUGAGUAAUGCGUAGGGAUCUGCCUAUGGGACGGGGACAACUUGGGGAAACCUGAGCUAAUACCCGGUAAGCUCUAAGGAGGAAAGCAUGGGA